This 891-nucleotide long non-coding RNA is filed under the name Homo sapiens (human). RNAcentral's name for it is "HSALNT0214052". The record is from RNAcentral. Lineage: Eukaryota; Metazoa; Chordata; Mammalia; Primates; Hominidae.
CAAUGUUAAGGUCUGCCUUUCACCUUCCGCCAUGAUUGUGAGGCCUCCCCAGCCACGUGGAACUAUGAGUCCAUUAAGCCUCUUUUUCCUGAUGAAUUACCCAGCCUCAGGUAUGUAUUUAUCAGCAGCAUGAAAAAAGACUAAUACAGAGAAGAUCCAUGACCACUACUCUCAGUUUGUGAACCUCCAUCAACUCAGCAGACCAUCAAAGCCUCAUCUACUUCAAUGGCAAACAAUGUGUAUCUCAUGUUGAACAGGAUGGAAGCCUGCUUCAUUAAGGAAAGCACUACAUUAGGAUCUGGUUUGUGCUGUAGGAGCUUAUGUAGAGCCUCAAAAUGGAAACACACUGAACUCAGCCAUGGAAAGCCUUGUGGAACAGGCUUUGUAUCAGUUGAAGACAAGUGAUAAGAGAAGACUAAUGUUUCUACUCAUGUACAAAGGUACUUUGAUGUUGAUACUGCUUAUGUACAGGUUGAUGCCAUGGCAGGAAAGCAAAGAUUUUGACCUUUGCUGCCCAAUAUGGCAACCACUAGCCACAUAUGUCCACUGAACACCUGAAAUGUGAUUAGUACAACAUAUUAAAAAGCGAGAACACAGUGAGUGAGAAGGUGGCCAUCUGCAAACAAGGGAAAGAGCUCUCAUCAGACCUCAACACACCGGCAUUCUGAUUUCGGACUUCCAGCCACCCAAACCAUGAGAAAAUAAAUUUCUGUUAUUUAAGACAUCCAGGGUAUGGUAUUUUGUUAUAGCUGACUAAUACCAAGCUGAGUAAUCCUGAGCUGAAUAAUACUCAACUUCUAGGCUAGUUCAUAAAAGCAUGAAUAAAUACUCAACUUCUAGGCCAACUUCUAGGCCUAGUUCAUAAAAGCAUGAAUAAAUACUCAACUUCUA